RNAcentral lists this ribosomal RNA (459 nucleotides) under uncultured bacterium. RNAcentral describes it as "partial 16S ribosomal RNA". It matches the Rfam family "Bacterial small subunit ribosomal RNA", at positions 338 to 795 of the family's 1533-position model. The record is from RNAcentral.
CCUACGGGAGGCAGCAGUGAGGACUAUUGGUCAAUGGCCGGAAGGCUGAACCAGCCAAGCCGCGUGAAGGACGAAGGUGCCAAGCAUUGUAAACUUCUUUUGUCAAGGGACAAAAUCAGGCUCGAGAGCCUGACCGCGGGUACUUGAAGAAAAAGCAUCGGCUAACUCCGUGCCAGCAGCCGCGGUAAUACGGAGGAUGCGAGCGUUAUCCGGAUUUAUUGGGGUUAAAGGGUGCGUAGGCGGACUGUUCAGUCAGCGGUACAACCCCGGGGCUCAACCCCGGCGAGCCGUUGAAACUGGCUGUCUUGAGAUGUCGAGAGGUAUGCGGAAUGCGCAGGGUAGCGGUGAAAUGCUUAGAUAUUGCGCAGAACUCCGAUUGCGAAGGCAGCAUACCGGCGGCGAGCUGACGCUGAGGCACGAAAGCGUGGGUAUCGAACAGGAUUAGAUACCCGGGUAGUC